CGCGUGCAAGAGUUCAUAUCGACCACGCGGCUUGCUUCCUCGAUGUCGGCUCUUGGUAUCCUGGCGUUGCAUAAUGCGCCAAGGGUGCGGGUGCUCACCGAUUAAAACCGAACGUGAGCUGGGUUUAGACCGUUGCGAGACAGGUUGGUUUCUAUCUAUUGGUACUGUUGGAUGUCUGAUGGCAAGAUGAUGCCGGUACGAGAGGAACGCAUUGUCGCGACCUAUGGUGUAUCGAUUGUCUGAGAAGGCACUGUCGAGUAGCUAAGUCGUAAAUCAUAAACGCUGAAUGCAUCUAAGCGUGAAGGAUGACCAAAAAAUAGACAUCC
RNAcentral lists this ribosomal RNA (326 nucleotides) under Candidatus Thorarchaeota archaeon. RNAcentral's name for it is "partial 23S ribosomal RNA". It matches the Rfam family "Archaeal large subunit ribosomal RNA", at positions 2556 to 2881 of the family's 2987-position model. The record is from RNAcentral. Lineage: Archaea; Promethearchaeati; Candidatus Thorarchaeota.